Non-coding RNA from Myotis lucifugus (little brown bat), 75 nucleotides. The record is from Rfam. NCBI's taxonomy places the organism in Eukaryota, Metazoa, Chordata, Mammalia, Chiroptera, Vespertilionidae.
GGUGGUCCUUGGGUGAUACACCCCAGAAUCAUGCUCCCUCCUCUCUGGUUCCCGGUGCGUUACCCAAGAACCACA